AGCUGUUAGUGGGAUAAGGUCCAGUGAAUGGCUCUAGAGCAGAAGAGAGGUGUGUGAGAAUGUGGUGAAAAUAGAACAACAUACACAUUGAGAGCCACUGUACCUGAGCCAAACUCUUCAUGUGUCCAACACCUGGCCAAUAAAGCUGAUUCUGAUGGUGUUGCCUACUGUGGGGUUCUGAAGAUUUGACGGCAUGGCCUGACACCCUCAUCUUUGGGGCCAGUAAUGGAUUGUCUAUCAAUCACAUCCUGAACUUCCAGCUGUCAGUCUCCGGGGAGUGAGCAGAACAACUGGCAGCCAACAUUUUUCAGUCUGUUUUUCCCUGUUUGGCUCUGUAUCAUGACAUUCACUGACAGUGAUAAUUCUUGACUGCUUGACACAUGAUUUGGUCCCAGGUCUGCCUCAUGAAUUUCCUUCCUCUGUGGUACUGAAAUACAUUACAUGAACUGUCAAAAACUCCCAUUUGUUAAACUGGGCCUCCUGAACACUAUUUGUGCUGAUGAACUCUGCAAGGGACACUGCAAACAGGCCUCAAGAACCAAACUACCCACAACACAGCACUCUCUGUA
Monopterus albus (swamp eel) is the source of this 569-nucleotide long non-coding RNA. RefSeq lists it as uncharacterized. The transcript is spliced from 3 exons. The record is from RefSeq and is a predicted model, not a curated record. NCBI's taxonomy places the organism in Eukaryota, Metazoa, Chordata, Actinopteri, Synbranchiformes, Synbranchidae.